Molecule: ribosomal RNA, 305 nt
Filed under: uncultured bacterium
Lineage: Bacteria
Description: bacterial SSU rRNA
Rfam family: Bacterial small subunit ribosomal RNA
Source: RNAcentral
CCUACGGGGGGCAGCAGUGGGGAAUAUUGGGCAAUGGACGCAAGUCUGACCCAGCAACGCCGCGUGAAGGAAGAAGGCUUUCGGGUUGUAAACUUCUUUUAAGGGGGAAGAGCAGAAGACGGUACCCCUUGAAUAAGCCACGGCUAACUACGUGCCAGCAGCCGCGGUAAUACGUAGGGGGCAAGCGUUAUCCGGAUUUACUGGGUGUAAAGGGAGCGUAGACGGAAAGGCAAGUCAGAAGUGAAAGCCCAAGGCUCAACCAUGGGACUGCUUUUGAAACUGUCAAACUAGAGUACGGGAGAGGG